RNAcentral lists this long non-coding RNA (204 nucleotides) under Elaeis guineensis (African oil palm). RNAcentral's name for it is "long non-coding RNA (EGUI_LNC042158)". Lineage: Eukaryota; Viridiplantae; Streptophyta; Magnoliopsida; Arecales; Arecaceae. The record is from RNAcentral.
GGUCCAUAUUGGUCUAAUCAAAGACAUAGACUUAAUCAACUACAACUAUUAAAAUUGAUCAAAAAAAAAUUGACCCAAUCAGAAUUAACUUUUAAUUAGAUUUGAUCAAUUACUAACAUGAUCCAUUAUCAAUGAUUUUUAAUCCUAGGUCUAACCCAGUUAAAUGGACUGGACUCAAGCUAACCCAUUAACCCAUUAAUUAUG